AACUCAUGUUGCUUCAGGAUGCACCACCUGUCUUAUUUCAAUGAUUUUGCUUGAGGAUCAACUAUUGCCGCCAAUCGCCAACAACAUCUGGAACUUUCUCAGGCUGGAGUCGCUGAGACCCUCCAUGUUCAAUUGCCGGAGGAGUUAAAAGAUAGUUUCUAGGGGGAUCUAUGCAGCAUAUAUCAGUUGAAGGGAGUCAGGAUCUAACAUAAGCCUGAGCAGUCAGUUGCUCGUAUUCCAGGCCAAAGGUUCUCAACACAUCUCAAGGGUUGAAUUUAAAAGCCAGCAGAGUACCGGUUCAACUAACCUGGUGGCUGCAGGUUUCUUUUUCCAUGCAGGGCUAGAAAUCCGUACAUCUCCCACACAUUUUGAUGUCAGAAGAAGUAGUGUCGGAGAUAAUAUCUCAUAGCUAUAUCAAGAAUCUUGUAACAUCUCGCUAUUUGAAACCUGAGCACUGCCCCGCUGAAUCUCAGCACGGCCCCUCUCAUAUGAUUGAGCAUUCUCUUCCCUAUAGAUAUCGCCUAG
This 525-nucleotide small RNA is filed under the name Histoplasma capsulatum. RNAcentral describes it as "hypothetical RNA". Lineage: Eukaryota; Fungi; Ascomycota; Eurotiomycetes; Onygenales; Ajellomycetaceae. RNAcentral also lists the same sequence under 1 other name. The record is from RNAcentral.